AUAUCAUGCUGAAUCACUAGUUUCCAUAUGAUCACUGAAGUUAAGCAACGUUGAGCCUGGUCAGUACCUAGAUGGGUUCCUGUUUGGGAAUGCCAGGUGCUGUAAG
Non-coding RNA from Acanthosepion pharaonis, 106 nucleotides. The record is from the annotation of a GenBank genome assembly. Lineage: Eukaryota; Metazoa; Mollusca; Cephalopoda; Sepiida; Sepiidae.